GACGAACGCUGGCGGCGUGCUUAACACAUGCAAGUCGAACGGAAAGGCCUAGCUUGCUGGGUACUCGAGUGGCGAACGGGUGAGUAACACGUGGGUGAUCUGCCCCUGACUUUGGGAUAAGCCUGGGAAACUGGGUCUAAUACCGGAUAUUCAUUUUUCCUCGCAUGGGGAUUUGUGAAAGCUUUUGCGGUUGGGGAUGGGCCCGCGGCCUAUCAGCUUGUUGGUGGGGUAAUGGCCUACCAAGGCGACGACGGGUAGCCGACCUGAGAGGGUGAUCGGCCACACUGGGACUGAGACACGGCCCAGACUCCUACGGGAGGCAGCAGUGGGGAAUAUUGCACAAUGGGCGCAAGCCUGAUGCAGCGACGCCGCGUGAGGGAUGACGGCCUUCGGGUUGUAAACCUCUUUCAGCUCCGACGAAGCGCAAGUGACGGUAGGAGCAGAAGAAGCACCGGCCAACUACGUG
Molecule: ribosomal RNA, 466 nt
Filed under: uncultured bacterium
Lineage: Bacteria
Description: partial 16S ribosomal RNA
Rfam family: Bacterial small subunit ribosomal RNA
Source: RNAcentral